Molecule: transfer RNA, 87 nt
Filed under: Planctomycetota bacterium
Lineage: Bacteria; Pseudomonadati; Planctomycetota
Description: Planctomycetes bacterium (activated sludge metagenome) tRNA-Ser
Source: RNAcentral
GGAGAACAAACCGGGCAGGCGUACCGGUGCCGGUUGCUAACCGGUCAGCCGUUUUGCGGUGUGGUUCGAGUCCACUGUUCUCCGCCA